AGUGUGCUGAAUCGCCUUAGGCUCAGUAACACGUGGAUAACCUACCCUUGAGACGGGGAUAAACCCGGGAAACUGGGUAUAAUACCCGAUAGAUCUCGACUGCUGGAAUGCAUCGAGCUUAAAAGCUCCGGCGCUCAAGGAUGGGUCUGCGGCCUAUCAGGUAGUAGUGGGUGUAGCGUACCUACUAGCCUACGGCGGGUACGGGUUGUGAGAGCAAGAGCCCGGAGAUGGAUUCUGAGACACGAAUCCAGGCCCUACGGGGUGCAGCAGGCGCGAAAACUUUACAAUGCUGGAAACAGCGAUAAGGGGACCUCGAGUGCCAGGUUACAAAUCUGGCUGUCGUGAUGCCUAAAAAGCAUUGCAUAGCAAGGGCCGGGCAAGACCGGUGCCAGCCGCCGCGGUAACACCGGCGGCUCGAGUGGUAACCGUUAUUAUUGGGUCUAAAGGGUCUGUAGCCGGCCGGAUAAGUCUCUUGGGAAAUCUGGCAGCUUAACUGUCAGGCUUUCAGGAGAUACUGUCUGGCUCGAGGCCGGGAGAGGUGAGAGGUACUUCAGGGGUAGGGGUGAAAUCUUGUAAUCCUUGAAGGACCACCAGUGGCGAAGGCGUCUCACCAGAACGGACCUGACGGCAAGGGACGAAAGCUAGGGGCACGAACCGGAUUAGAUACCCGGGUAGUCCUAGCCGCAAACGAUACUCGCUAGGUGUCGGCAACGGUGCGACCGUUGUCGGUGCCGUAGGGAAGCCGUGAAGCGA
RNAcentral lists this ribosomal RNA (753 nucleotides) under uncultured Methanotrichaceae archaeon. RNAcentral's name for it is "bacterial SSU rRNA". It matches the Rfam family "Archaeal small subunit ribosomal RNA", at positions 67 to 822 of the family's 1478-position model. The record is from RNAcentral. Lineage: Archaea; Methanobacteriati; Methanobacteriota; Methanomicrobia; Methanotrichales; Methanotrichaceae.